Molecule: unclassified non-coding RNA, 208 nt
Filed under: Hevea brasiliensis (rubber tree)
Lineage: Eukaryota; Viridiplantae; Streptophyta; Magnoliopsida; Malpighiales; Euphorbiaceae
Source: RNAcentral
GGAAGGAUUUAUAUAUAUAUUGAAGUAUAUAAUUAGGGGAAGGAUUUUAAGUAAGUAAAUUAAGGGGAGAUGUUUAGGGAAUGAAUUGUUAUGAAUAUUUAAGGUUGUAUUUUAAUUUGGAAGUAGGAGGGAUUUUUUAAUUUUUUAUAGUUAAUAUAUGUUAAGAGUUUAUAGAGUGUAUUGUUGUUGUUAAGUUGUUUUAGUCGUG